RNAcentral lists this small RNA (104 nucleotides) under Alicyclobacillus acidocaldarius. RNAcentral's name for it is "Guanidine-I sequence". It matches the Rfam family "Guanidine-I riboswitch aptamer". From Rfam's summary of the family: This family represents a conserved RNA structure found upstream of the ykkC and yxkD genes in Bacillus subtilis and related genes in other bacteria. The record is from RNAcentral. Lineage: Bacteria; Bacillati; Bacillota; Bacilli; Caryophanales; Alicyclobacillaceae. RNAcentral also lists the same sequence under 1 other name.
ACACAAGGUCUCUAGGGUUCCGCCGGCAGUCGCCGGGCCUGGUCCGAGAGAGGCCAGCUCUCGCAUCGUCGAGAGCCGCACGGAGGGAUAAAAGCCCGGGAGGU